This 2983-nucleotide ribosomal RNA is filed under the name Salmonella enterica subsp. enterica serovar Sanjuan. RNAcentral describes it as "23S ribosomal RNA". It matches the Rfam family "Bacterial large subunit ribosomal RNA". Lineage: Bacteria; Pseudomonadati; Pseudomonadota; Gammaproteobacteria; Enterobacterales; Enterobacteriaceae. The record is from RNAcentral.
UUAAGCGACUAAGCGUACACGGUGGAUGCCCUGGCAGUCAGAGGCGAUGAAGGGCGUGCUAAUCUGCGAUAAGCGCCGGUAAGGUGAUAUGAACCGUUAUAACCGGCGAUACCCGAAUGGGGAAACCCAGUGUGAUUCGUCACACUAUCAUUAACUGAAUCCAUAGGUUAAUGAGGCGAACCGGGGGAACUGAAACAUCUAAGUACCCCGAGGAAAAGAAAUCAACCGAGAUUCCCCCAGUAGCGGCGAGCGAACGGGGAGGAGCCCAGAGCCUGAAUCAGCAUGUGUGUUAGUGGAAGCGUCUGGAAAGGCGCGCGAUACAGGGUGACAGCCCCGUACACAAAAGCGCACGUGCUGUGAGCUCGAUGAGUAGGGCGGGACACGUGGUAUCCUGUCUGAAUAUGGGGGGACCAUCCUCCAAGGCUAAUACUCCUGACUGACCGAUAGUGAACCAGUACCGUGAGGGAAGGCGAAAGAACCCCGGCGAGGGGAGUGAAAAGAACCUGAAACCGUGUACGUACAAGCAGUGGGAGCACAGGUUUACCUGUGUGACUGCGUACCUUUUGUAUAAUGGGUCAGCGACUUAUAUUCCUGUAGCAAGGUUAACCGAUAGGGGAGCCGGAGGGAAACCGAGUCUUAAUUGGGCGUUAAGUUGCAGGGUAUAGACCCGAAACCCGGUGAUCUAGCCAUGGGCAGGUUGAAGGUUGGUAACACUAACUGGAGGACCGAACCGACUAAUGUUGAAAAAUUAGCGGAUGACCUGUGGCUGGGGGGUGAAAGGCCAAUCAAACCGGGAGAUAGCUGGUUCUCCCCGAAAGCUAUUUAGGUAGCGCCUCGUGAAUUCAUCUCCGGGGGUAGAGCACUGUUUCGGCUAGGGGGCCAUCCCGGCUUACCAACCCGAUGCAAACUGCGAAUACCGGAGAAUGUUAUCACGGGAGACACACGGCGGGUGCUAACGUCCGUCGUGAAGAGGGAAACAACCCAGACCGCCAGCUAAGGUCCCAAAGUCAUGGUUAAGUGGGAAACGAUGUGGGAAGGCCCAGACAGCCAGGAUGUUGGCUUAGAAGCAGCCAUCAUUUAAAGAAAGCGUAAUAGCUCACUGGUCGAGUCGGCCUGCGCGGAAGAUGUAACGGGGCUAAACAUGCACCGAAGCUGCGGCAGCGAACGUAUCACCCAAGACAACUUUGCACAGUUGACGAUUGACGGAGCGGAGCGACGUCAAAGCGUUUUACAACGUCGAGUUGGCUUAGGGAUACGUUCGUUGGGUAGGGGAGCGUUCUGUAAGCCUGCGAAGGUGGCCUGUGAGGGUUGCUGGAGGUAAUCAGAAGUGCGAAUGCUGACAUAAGUAACGAUAAAGCGGGUGAAAAGCCCGCUCGCCGGAAGACCAAGGGUUCCUGUCCAACGUUAAUCGGGGCAGGGUGAGUCGACCCCUAAGGCGAGGCCCGAAAGGCGUAGUCGAUGGGAAACGGGUUAAUAUUCCCGUACUUGGUGUUACUGCGAAGGGGGACGGAGAAGGCUAUGUUGGCCGGGCGACGGUUGUCCCGGUUUAAGCGUGUAGGCUGGUUUCCAGGCAAAUCCGGAAAAUCAAGGCUGAGGCGUGACGACGAGGCACUACGGUGCUGAAGCAACAAAUGCCCUGCUUCCAGGAAAAGCCUCUAAGCAUCAGGUAACAUCAAAUCGUACCCCAAACCGACACAGGUGGUCAGGUAGAGAAUACCAAGGCGCUUGAGAGAACUCGGGUGAAGGAACUAGGCAAAAUGGUGCCGUAACUUCGGGAGAAGGCACGCUGACAUGUAGGUGAAGUGAUUUACUCAUGGAGCUGAAGUCAGUCGAAGAUACCAGCUGGCUGCAACUGUUUAUUAAAACACAGCACUGUGCAAACACGAAAGUGGACGUAUACGGUGUGACGCCUGCCCGGUGCCGGAAGGUUAAUUGAUGGGGUCAGCGCAAGCGAAGCUCCUGAUCGAAGCCCCGGUAAACGGCGGCCGUAACUAUAACGGUCCUAAGGUAGCGAAAUUCCUUGUCGGGUAAGUUCCGACCUGCACGAAUGGCGUAAUGAUGGCCAGGCUGUCUCCCACCCGAGACUCAGUGAAAUUGAACUCGCUGUGAAGAUGCAGUGUACCCGCGGCAAGACGGAAGACCCCGUGAACCUUUACUAUAGCUUGACACUGAACAUUGAGCCUUGAUGUGUAGGAUAGGUGGGAGGCUUUGAAGUGUGGACGCCAGUCUGCAUGGAGCCGACCUUGAAAUACCACCCUUUAAUGUUGAUGUUCUAACGUGGACCCGUUACCCGGGUUGCGGACAGUGUCUGGUGGGUAGUUUGACUGGGGCGGUCUCCUCCUAAAGAGUAACGGAGGAGCACGAAGGUUGGCUAAUCCUGGUCGGACAUCAGGAGGUUAGUGCAAUGGCAUAAGCCAGCUUGACUGCGAGCGUGACGGCGCGAGCAGGUGCGAAAGCAGGUCAUAGUGAUCCGGUGGUUCUGAAUGGAAGGGCCAUCGCUCAACGGAUAAAAGGUACUCCGGGGAUAACAGGCUGAUACCGCCCAAGAGUUCAUAUCGACGGCGGUGUUUGGCACCUCGAUGUCGGCUCAUCACAUCCUGGGGCUGAAGUAGGUCCCAAGGGUAUGGCUGUUCGCCAUUUAAAGUGGUACGCGAGCUGGGUUUAGAACGUCGUGAGACAGUUCGGUCCCUAUCUGCCGUGGGGCGCUGGAGAACUGAGGGGGGCUGCUCCUAGUACGAGAGGACCGGGAGUGGACGCAUCACUGGUGUUCGGGUUGUCAUGCCAAUGGCACUGCCCGGUAGCUAAAUGCGGAAGAGAUAAGUGCUGAAAGCAUCUAAGCACGAAACUUGCCCCGAGAUGAGUUCUCCCUGAGACUUAGAGUCUCCUGAAGGAACGUUGAAGACGACGACGUUGAUAGGCCGGGUGUGUAAGCGCAGCGAUGCGUUGAGCUAACCGGUACUAAUGAACCGUGAGGCUUAACCUU